GGUCUCUCCCUGUCUUUGUCCUCGCCGUUUCGGGGCACAUGACCGUUAAUCUGCGGAGGCGGCUGCCAACGCCCAGUGUCCGCUGCCUGGGCACACCCAGAACCCCUAAACUCUCUCAGCUCCGGGCACUCGGGCACCCAGAGCCCGCUGAGCAGUCCCCGAGUUCCCAUCAGCUCCGGAUCCCACUCGGGCCCCACAGCGCCCCACAGCUCUGCUCCCUCUGGCUCCAGCACCCCCAACCCCUUGGCACAACCUGUGCCUGCUCUGGGGCUCUCCCCACGCUGCCUGAGGGAGGAGGCUCUGAGAGCCGAUUCCUCCCUCUUUCCCACCAAAAAGCAUCCGGGGCAUCCUCCUCCCCUCGCCCAGCUGGGCGCUGCCUUGUCCUCGCCCAGAUCCUGCCCGAAGGUCGCUGCCAAGGACACCCGCAGUCCCGGGGACACGGGUGGCCCUUGGGACACCCCGCACCCACACGAAACCCCCCGGGAGCAGGCAGGAGCUGGUGUCUGGUGGGGUAUGGCUGGAGCAGCUCUGGCUGGAGGCAGAGCUGCUGGGAGCUGGCGUGCUGCGGAUUUGGGAAGCUGGCACACAGGUCUGAUCCCCUCAGCGGUGCCACAGGGCUCAGCCUUAGUUGGAGCUGGAGCUUAACUGGGACAUGCCUGGAAUUCCAGCCUGGGGACAAGGCGAGGGCUGUGUGCACCCUGGGGGGCUCCUGGCUCAUGGGGCUCUGAUCCCCGUGCUGGAGGCUCCGGAAGGAAGGGCUGUGCUGUGUUGGGCUGUCCCACGCCGCCGUGACGCCUCCUGCUCUCCGUGUUCCCAGAUAAGAUCUGCGACCAGAUCAGCGAUGCUGUCCUGGAUGCCCACCUCAAGCAGGAUCCUGAUGCCAAGGUGGCCUGUGGUGAGUAAGGGCACCAGGGCACAGCCAGUGGGUGACGUGGAGGUGACAACACGCUGACGUCACCCUUGUCCCUGCAGAGACGGUGGCCAAAACCGGGAUGAUCCUGCUGGCGGGGGAGAUC
Molecule: long non-coding RNA, 1016 nt
Filed under: Zonotrichia albicollis (white-throated sparrow)
Lineage: Eukaryota; Metazoa; Chordata; Aves; Passeriformes; Passerellidae
Description: lncRNA (ENSZALG00000001796.1)
Source: RNAcentral